CUACGGGUCGCUCCAGUGAGGAAUAUUGCACAAUGGGGGGAACUCUGAUGCAGCAACGCCGCGUGGAGGAUGACACUUUUCGGAGCGUAAACUCCUUUUAUAUGUCAAGAAAAUGACGGUAGCAUAUGAAUAAGCACCGGCUAACUCCGUGCCAGCAGCCGCGGUAAUACGGAGGGUGCAAGCGUUACUCGGAAUCACUGGGCGUAAAGGACGCGUAGGCGGGAUAUCAAGUCAGGUGUGAAAUCCUACAGCUUAACUGUAGAACUGCACUUGAAACUGGUAACCUGGAGUAUGGGAGGGGGAGAUGGAAUUAGUGGUGUAGGGGUAAAAUCCGUAGAUAUCACUAGGAAUACCUAAAGCGAAGGCGAUCUCCUGGAACAUAACUGACGCUAAGGCGUGAAAGCGUGGGGAGCAAACAGGAUUAGAUACCCCAGUAGUC
Molecule: ribosomal RNA, 439 nt
Filed under: uncultured bacterium
Lineage: Bacteria
Description: partial 16S ribosomal RNA
Rfam family: Bacterial small subunit ribosomal RNA
Source: RNAcentral